AUUGAACGCUGGCGGCAUGCCUUACACAUGCAAGUCGAACGGCAGCGCGGGAGCAAUCCUGGUGUCGAGUGGCGAACGGGUGAGUAAAGUAUCGGAACGUGCCCAGUCGUGGGGGAUCACGUAGCGAAAGUUACGCUAAUACCGCAUACGAUCUAUGGAUGAAAGCGGGGGAUCGCAAGACCUCGCGCGAUUGGAGCGGCCGAUAUCAGAUUAGGUAGUUGGUGGGGUAAAGGCUCACCAAGCCGACGAUCUGUAGCUGGUCUGAGAGGACGACCAGCCACACUGGGACUGAGACACGGCCCAGACUCCUACGGGGGGCAGCAGUGGGGAAUUUUGGACAAUGGGCGAAAGCCUGAUCCAGCCAUGCCGCGUGCAGGAUGAAGGCCUUCGGGUUGUAAACUGCUUUUGUACGUAACGAAAAGGUUUGGCCUAAUAAGCUGAGCUCAUGACGGUACCGUAAGAGUAAGCACCGGCUAACUACGUGCCAGCCGCCGCGGUAA
This 500-nucleotide ribosomal RNA is filed under the name uncultured bacterium. Its description in RNAcentral is "partial 16S ribosomal RNA". It matches the Rfam family "Bacterial small subunit ribosomal RNA", at positions 30 to 523 of the family's 1533-position model. The record is from RNAcentral.